This 429-nucleotide ribosomal RNA is filed under the name Triticum aestivum (bread wheat). RNAcentral's name for it is "partial small subunit ribosomal RNA". Lineage: Eukaryota; Viridiplantae; Streptophyta; Magnoliopsida; Poales; Poaceae. The record is from RNAcentral.
AUGACCAACCGUAAAGUAGCUAGAGUGUUAUGCCUCCUAGUCUUUUUGGCUAUCUAUUCUUGUUCGCGCAAUGCACAACCAAUCCAUGGAGUAGAUCACUGCACCAUCGAUAAAAAUAACGUGAUAGAAUACUGCAAGGGUAUCAUCGAAAAGAAUCUUGGCAACCAGGUUCCGCAACCGUGGACCCUAUGUUGUGGUACAAUAAGAGGUGUGACGGACAUCCACUGCAUCUGUGAUCGGUUCGCCGCUCACGAUCUGACUAGGAUCAGUCUACCCAAGUUCGCAUGUAUGGCAUAUAUAUGCGGCAAAGGGUUGCACCCACACACUCAUUGUGCAGGUUACCUUGUUCCGGUCAUGAAGGUACGACCUCCACCCCCCGGCAAGCACCUAGGCCUUCAGUGUAAGAACACUCAUAAUGGGAAUAAUUGA